GACGAACGCUGGCGGCGUGCCUAAUACAUGCAAGUCGAACGCUGAGGGCGGAGCUUGCUUCUCUGGUUGAGUUGCGAACGGGUGAGUAACGCGUAGGUAACCUGCCUGGUAGCGGGGGAUCACUAGUGGAAACGAUAGCUAAUACCGCAUAAUAGUAGAUGUCGCAUGACAUUUGCUUAAAAGGUGCAAUUGCAUCACUACCAGAUGGACCUGCGUUGUAUUGGCUAGUUGGUGAGGUAACGGCUCACCAAGGCAACGAUACAUAGCCGACCUGAGAGGGUGAUCGGCCACACUGGGACUGAGACACGGCCCAGACUCCUACGGGAGGCAGCAGUAGGGAAUCGUCGGUAAUGGACGGAAGUCUGAACGAGCAACGCCGCGUGAGGGAAGAAGGGUUUCGGAUCGUAAAGCGCUGUUGUAAGAGAAGAACGAGGGUGAGAGUGGAAAGUUCACACUGUGACGGUAUCUGACCAGAAAGGGACGGCUAACUACGUG
Molecule: ribosomal RNA, 495 nt
Filed under: uncultured bacterium
Lineage: Bacteria
Description: partial 16S ribosomal RNA
Rfam family: Bacterial small subunit ribosomal RNA
Source: RNAcentral